RNAcentral lists this ribosomal RNA (497 nucleotides) under uncultured bacterium. RNAcentral describes it as "partial 16S ribosomal RNA". It matches the Rfam family "Bacterial small subunit ribosomal RNA", at positions 28 to 507 of the family's 1533-position model. The record is from RNAcentral.
GAUGAACGCUGGCGGCGUGCCUAAUACAUGCAAGUCGAGCGAACAGACGAGGAGCUUGCUCCUCUGACGUUAGCGGCGGACGGGUGAGUAACACGUGGAUAACCUACCUAUAAGACUGGGAUAACUUCGGGAAACCGGAGCUAAUACCGGAUAAUAUAUUGAACCGCAUGGUUCAAUAGUGAAAGACGGUUUUGCUGUCACUUAUAGAUGGAUCCGCGCCGCAUUAGCUAGUUGGUAAGGUAACGGCUUACCAAGGCUACGAUGCGUAGCCGACCUGAGAGGGUGAUCGGCGACACUGGAACUGAGACACGGUCCAGACUCCUACGGGAGGCAGCAGUAGGGAAUCUUCCGCAAUGGGCGAAAGCCUGACGGAGCAACGCCGCGUGAGUGAUGAAGGUCUUCGGAUCGUAAAACUCUGUUAUUAGGGAAGAACAAAUGUGUAAGUAACUAUGCACGUCUUGACGGUACCUAAUCAGAAAGCCACGGCUAACUACGUG